Molecule: transfer RNA, 71 nt
Filed under: Loxodonta africana (African savanna elephant)
Lineage: Eukaryota; Metazoa; Chordata; Mammalia; Proboscidea; Elephantidae
Rfam family: tRNA
About the family: Transfer RNA (tRNA) molecules are approximately 80 nucleotides in length. Their secondary structure includes four short double-helical elements and three loops (D, anti-codon, and T loops).
Source: Rfam by way of RNAcentral
ACAGUGGUGGUUCAGUGGUAGAAUUCUUAUCUUCCACGUGGGAGACGUGGGUUCAAUUCCCCACCAAUGCA